Molecule: ribosomal RNA, 1287 nt
Filed under: Triticum aestivum (bread wheat)
Lineage: Eukaryota; Viridiplantae; Streptophyta; Magnoliopsida; Poales; Poaceae
Description: partial small subunit ribosomal RNA
Source: RNAcentral
UCUCUGCUUUUCUUUCUUUACCUAACGGGUUAGCGUCGGGGUCGGGGUCGGGACAAAGGGUAGGGUGGGGGGCGCUCAGGAGGGGAAGAAGGAGAGGGAGAGGGAGCAGGCGGCGGCGGCGGCGGCUGCUGGAUGGAGGAGCCGGCGACGAGGAGCGCGAGAUAUACGAGGAGGUGGCGUACCUAAGCAGCUAGGGUAGGAAGACACCAACGGACGUAGCCAAAAUGGGUAGAUCCCAAAGCCACACCAGCUGGAUGAGCAGCGGCCGCUACGAGACCACGCAACCAGGCAAGCAGAGGCAGAGGACAGUACGAGAGAGCACCACAACACGGAGGACCUACCGCGAGGACACGGAGCCUACGUACGGGGAGAGAGGGCUCGAGCUACUCUUCGUCGCCGCGGGGGAAAGAGGGCUCGAGGUUUAGGUAGGGUUGUCGCGAUUCCAUUGGUCGCCGUCUCCGAGGGUGGAUCGUGGAGAGAGGAGGACGGGGGAGGAACGGGAGGAUACACAAAAGCUAAAAAAGACGCACACGAACGUGCAAGUACCUAGAUCUAUCGUCUAAUACAAAAGACACAUUAUAAAGUAUCCGAAUUUGAAGUUCCUCAUCUACAUUACGAAAACAGAAAACGGAGGGAGGUACAAUAGUCAUGUCCCUAGGAUUAAACCCGAGACGAGGUUAGUUGUUUAUCUCACGUUGGGAACUCAAGUAGGGCUAUGUCACCGUCAGUGUAUUCUACCUCGUACCUUUACCUGCUCGUCAGGUAUAAUAAGUUAACCCAAACUGACGUAGAGCAGAUUGAUUAUCUGCCUGUUUGUGUUGACCUUCUUUUACUACCUUUCAUGUCGAACACCGUUCUUUCAAAGUAAUCUGUAAAACUUUCCCACCAAACCACACGCUUUUUGACAACCUGAACUAUCAAUUACUCGCACAACAAUAGUCCCAAGCCCGACCCAGUAGCCAGACCCGACGAGUACGGAUCCAAAUGUACGUUCAAUAUACUUUAUACACACAUAUAGAAUUACAAGAGAUGGUCAAUUCUCACCUCUACGGGAAAAGAUCCGUACGUUACCGUUGGACCAACUAACGUCGAAGAAGGAACUCCAUAAGUUUAUGGACUAUACAGAGUUGUAUAACUAUGAAAAACAUACAAAGUAUGAGGUUAUGAUAGUUAAUAUGUGAAACCCGUAUAAAAACUGAACAUAACCUGAUUGUAUUUUUAGAUCACAAUCAGAGUUAAAAACCAGGUUUUUUUCAGUAAAGACCUACAAAGCACAACCCUCUCUCG